Molecule: unclassified non-coding RNA, 315 nt
Filed under: rhizosphere metagenome
Description: partial ribosomal RNA internal transcribed spacer region
Source: RNAcentral
GUAGGUGAACCUGCGGAAGGAUCAUUAUCGAAUAAACUUGAUGGGUUGUCGCUGGCUCCUAGGAGCAUGUGCACAUCCGUCAUUUUUAUCCAUCCACCUGUGCACCUUUUGUAGUCUUUGGAGGUAAUAAGCUUGAAUCUAUCGAGGUCCUCUGGUCCUCGGAAAGAGGUGUUUGCCAUAUGGCUCGCCUUUGAUACUCGCGAGUUACUCUAAGACUAUGUCCUUUCAUAUACUACGAAUGUAAUAGAAUGUAUUCAUUGGGCCUCAGUGCCUAUAAAACAUAUACAACUUUCAGCAACGGAUCUCUUGGCUCUC